GAGCUGGUGGCAGCUGCUUUGUUAUCUGAGACCUCCCCCAACCUAAGGUCAGACACAGAUUCUGAGCUCAGAGGUUUGGAAUCUCAGCUUGCACUUGAGCUAUGAAGUUGGUGACAGCAUGUACUGUUCUCUGGACUUUCGGUAUUAUGGGUGAUGCUAAAACCACACAGCCAACUUCAGUGAAGAGUGCUGAAGAAGAACCUGUGCACUUGCCCUGUAACCACUCCACUAUCAGUGGAAGUGAGUACAUACACUGGUAUCGACAGGCUCCCCAACAAGCUCCUGAGUUUGUGAUUCGUGGUCUGAAAAACAAUGAGACCAAUGGAAUGGCCUCUCUGGUCAUCGCUGCUGACAGAAAGUUCAGUAUCUUGAUCCUGCCCCGUGUCACUCUGAGAGACACUGCCGUGUACUACUGCAUGGUGAGAGACACACACUGGGACAGACGGGGCUGCACCUGUGCAAUAUCUCCCCGCAGGGGAAGGGAAACAGCAACAGCCAUCUAAAGAGGCCGCUGCACAAGAACGAGCAGAAGCUCAAAAGAGGAAAAAGAAAAGUAACCGAGAAAGAAGGGGAAAGAAGUAAAAAGAGGAUAGUGAGGAAUUCAAGGAGGAGAGGAUUAAUGGAAUGAAGAGGCUGAGGGGAAAGAGCUAGCAUUGAAAGGACUGAGGAGAUUAUGAGGAGACUAAGAGCCACUAUUGUAAUCCUGCAGUAAAAAGGAGAGGAAAAUGAGAAUUUGCCAGGAUUAUACCUUUUAGUCACAUGUUGCUACCUGCGUGGGUCUCAGUAAAAAAAGUGAGAAUAACCAUUUGGUUGUUCCAAAGGCUUUCUUUUUGGACCCAAGGA
Tupaia belangeri chinensis (Chinese tree shrew) is the source of this 843-nucleotide non-coding RNA. NCBI's taxonomy places the organism in Eukaryota, Metazoa, Chordata, Mammalia, Scandentia, Tupaiidae. The record is from the annotation of a RefSeq genome assembly.